Molecule: long non-coding RNA, 1776 nt
Organism: Acanthopagrus latus (yellowfin seabream)
Lineage: Eukaryota; Metazoa; Chordata; Actinopteri; Spariformes; Sparidae
Exons: 3
Source: RefSeq, a predicted model, not a curated record
AACCACAACAACUACCGCACUCCCAACUACUACAACUACUGCAGCUCCAACAACUACAACUACUGCAGCUCCAACUACAACAUCUACUGCUCCCACCACCACAACUACUGCACCUCCAACAACUACAAAUUCUGCAGAUCCAACUACAACUACUGCACCCCCAACCACCACAAGUACUGUAGCUCCGACCACCACAACGACACCAAUCACCCUGACCACCAUGUCUACAACCACCCCAGUAAUCACCCCAAACCAAGGCUUCGGGGCAGUGGCAAUUCUUCAGGUGAAGUUAACUUCAAUCAGUGAUAUCAGCAAUGGAACCAUUAUUCAGCUUGUUGAACAGUUCUUUAGAGAGCAGCUCUUGAAUGGAACCAACCACACAGUCAAUGUGACGAACAUUCAAAGGGUUAGAGUUGCCCCAUAGAAGCGUCAUGCAACUGCAAGUCAUAUUGAAUGCAUGAAGAAAGCAAUUCAAGGAGGUGCUGACUGUAUUAAUAAAUAAAAUGCAAUCUUCAUCUCUCAACUACACUGCAGAGGCUUAGAUUUUAGACUGUCUCUCCUAUGCAUCUUCAUCAUUUUGUUCCAUUAAAUAUCAAAAACAAAACAAAACUACAACUCAAAAAGUCAACAUUGAGAUCCAUUUUCGCUGUCUAUAGUCCCCAAACAAUAUUUUCAUCAUUACACUGCCUGCUGUGUUUCCCAUGUGAAUGGAAAUGCCAUUUAUCUCAAGCGUUCAGUAACAAAGAAAGGCUCAAACCAGGCAAUCUGAUCCAUCAAAGAGUUUUUUUUAAGAAGAGUCAGUAAUCCCAAGACUGUAACUGGAGCUGCUGCACUGAGAAGCUUGGCAACCAGGAAAUUACUACACUGUUGUGUAAUAUCUGGAAAAUAGUUUACUGAUUUGGCAACGAUGACUUUGCUUCAUACCAUUUGCAUAACGUACACACAUACCCAUAUGUAAUCCAGGAAGUGAAUUGUUUGUCAAGUAUUAUUUACUAUAUGUUGCAGUUGUGUCUCCUCAAUGUGUCUCCAUUCAAUCCUCUUGAGACUCAUGAUUGUGCAUGGUUAAGUUUGGUUUUGCUCUAUUUGGUCAACCUGCUUUUCCUGGUAAUGAGCUAACUAGUGGAAUGUAAUGAAAUGUAUAUAGAUUGUGACAUAGGUAUGCAGGAUAAACGUUUGUUGAUCCUGAACUUGGACCAGUAUGGCUAUUCUGCUACUGCAAGGCAAUGCAGCAAUGAUUUUUUUAUUUAUUUAUUUGUAUACCUGCUGAUUGAUGUUUUUCUUCUAUCACUAAUUAGAAUAUUGUUUUCAAAUGGUUAUUUUUGCAUUAAAAUUCUAUUUUCUUUGUUUUUUAUAUGUUUAGAUUUUGUUACAUUUUGAAAAUGAUUAUUAGGUGAAAUUAUGUCUGUAGCCCCAAGUGGACUUUUCCCUUAAAGCCACAAUAAGAAUUGGCCACUUGUUGAAUUUAUAUUCCAAAAAGUCAGCAAACUAAAUGAUUCAUUUCACUAUCAUGAUUUGAGUCUAGAGUCGCACAAUUCAGUUAUUUUAUCAUCAUUCAAGUUUGCCAGGUGUCAAACUGAACUCUUGAUGCUAAGAAAACACAGAUACCAAAUGAUUCCAAUGGCGCUGUUAAUUUGGCUGACAAACUUUUUUGGAAGCUGGAACCACCUGUCAGAACAAAACAAUUAUUUUGGACCCAACAAACAUUUAAAAAUUAUUCAUUUACCAUCAUGUUUUAAGAAAAAGUUUUUUUUUUAUUCUGCACCUUUCUACAAGCUC